This 2116-nucleotide unclassified non-coding RNA is filed under the name Hevea brasiliensis (rubber tree). Lineage: Eukaryota; Viridiplantae; Streptophyta; Magnoliopsida; Malpighiales; Euphorbiaceae. The record is from RNAcentral.
UUGUUAGAUUGGAUGUUAAUUGUGAUGCUUUUAUGAUUGCUGUGGAUUUGAUCAUUGUUCGACCUAAUCUUUGUUGAGUUCUAGCCUAUUCAAAGUUACUAUUUUUUGCGAUUUCUUUUUAACACAUCCAAACAUGGCGUACAAUAAAAAAUUUCUAGGGUUUUUGUCUAUUGUAUGAUCCUCCUUUCAACAUUUUACGCAAAUUCCAUCAGCUGUUCACAUAUUGCAUUUUUUACCCUGUAGUCGUCUCUGUAUUCUUAUUCGCCCCAAUGCAAUUAUCACCAUUAGAAGUCAGAUUCCAUUUUUCAUUUUUCUUCAUAGAUUCCUUGAAAUUUUAUUCUUGUUGAGUUGAUAAUCUUUUUGUAUCGCCUUAUCGAUUUCUUAAUGGUGUUAUGGCUUGCAGAAAAUUCAGCUAGCUAAGCAAAUUUUGAUCAGCUGUUAUAUUUUGAAAAAUAUAUUUAUUUCUCACUGCCACUGAGAAGAGAAGUUGGGCAUGGCAGAACAGACGAGAAGGAUCCCAUCUCAACAGGUUAUUGCAACCAGUGAGUGCUUAUCGGAAAAGCCUCAGUUCCACAUGUGCAAGUGGUACUUCAGUAGGCACGAAAUUGAAGAUUGUUCCCCUUCUAGACAGGAUGGAAUUGACUUUGAGAAAGAGUCUCAACUACGGAAGUUUUACUGCUCAUUUAUUAAAGAACUUGGCAAGAAGCUUAAAGUACCUCAGGUGACGAUAGCAUGCGCAUUGAUCUUAUGCCACCAGUUUUACAUGCGUCAGUCUCAUGCAAAGAAUGAUUGGCAGACAAUGGCAACUGCAAGCAUGUUUCUCGCUUGCAAAAUAGAAGAAACCCCACGCUUGCUGAGGGAUGUUGUUGUUGUGGCUUAUGAGAUGAUAAACAAAUGGGAUUCUUCUGCCCCACAAAGAAUCCGAAGAAUAGAAAUCUGUGAUAAGCAGAAGGAAUUGAUCACAAGUGGGGAGAGGCUAUUAUUGGCAACAAUUGCAUUUGAUCUCAAUAUCCAACUCCCCUACAGGCCACUUGUUGAUGCUUUAAAGAAACUGAAUAUAUUCCCAGAUCUUGCAAAAGUAGCAUGGAAUUUUGUGAAUGACUGGCUCUGUACAACAUUGUGUUUGCAGUACAAGCCCCAUUAUGUUGCAGCUGGCUCCCUGUUCCUUGCUGCCAAAUUUCAAAAAGUUAAACUGCCUACAGAAAAGGGAAAGGUUUGGUGGCUGGAGUUUGAUAUUUCACCUAAACAAUUGGAGGAGGUCACUCAAGAGAUGGUUAGGUUGUUGGAGCAAGACAAGAAACGAGCUGUGCCUUUACCACAGGAGAAGGUACUGAGUGGACCUUCAGUUGGAAAGAUGAAUACCAAUAGCCCACAAUCAACAAUUACAAGUGUAUCAAUUGCCAGUUCACAUUCUAGUGGAGGAACUGUGAUAGAAUCUCAGGUCUUGAGUGAGAGAAACUGUGGUCUGAAACAAGCUUUACCAUGUCAAACAAGUGAUACUGGUGAUGCAAGUAAUAUUGUUGAUGAUGAUGGCAAGAGUAAACCAAGAACAGAGAAAGUUGAUUUGGUUUCAAGCUGUAAGAUUGCCCCAAUCCAUGAUUCGUAUGGUAAGAUUGAUGCUAACCGGAUUAGAGAGGCAUUGAGGCGGAGGAGACGUGAAGGAGCUGCAAAUCAAAUGUCCAAUAAAAUCAUGAAUACUGAAUUAGAUAGUGAAGCCUGGAUAGAGAGGGAGCUGGAGAAUGGAAUAGAGCUUGAAUCAGCUUCUUCAGGAAAGAAACAAAGAACGGUGUGAUGAAGUUGUCAAGUAAAGUAUCCAUAGGUUACAUGCCAGUGACUAGAAUUCCUCCUCAACAGCUGUAAGUUUCAGGAUCACUUUCUGGAAGGAAAUUGUACAAGUACAGAAGAGUCGUUGACAUUGUUCUGCAAGAAUAAUGGCCUUGUAGAUGCAGAAUUACAAUAUUACAGUAUUUAUGUACAGCUUUUUAGAAAGUGGAGCCAAUUGAGCUUUUUAUUUUAUUUUAUUAUAUUAUAUUUUUGUACCGACUGCAAUGGAGUAAUCAAGUGUAUAAAUAAUCAUUUUAUGUGAAUGGUUUUUUGAGAUUGGCGUGUAACGGAG